ACAUAGUUCAGCUGGUAGAGCUGCCUGCUUUGCACGCAGAAGGUCAGCGGUUCAAUCCCGCUUGU
Molecule: transfer RNA, 65 nt
Organism: Onchocerca volvulus
Lineage: Eukaryota; Metazoa; Nematoda; Chromadorea; Rhabditida; Onchocercidae
Rfam family: tRNA
About the family: Transfer RNA (tRNA) molecules are approximately 80 nucleotides in length. Their secondary structure includes four short double-helical elements and three loops (D, anti-codon, and T loops).
Source: Rfam